ACAUUUUCGUUGAACAUUUCCAAUUUCCUCCCACUCUCGCUCCUCCUCCUCCUCCUCCGCUGUCUCCUCCCCUAUCUCCGGCUAUCCUCCAUCUCUUUUCCCCCGGACAAAACAUUAAGUGAAGUGACUGAAUGAAUCAAAGUAAAGGAAAGUAGUUGAGGAAAAUAAUGAGGUGCAGCGCAUCGAUGGAUCAGAGUCGGCUCUUUAAGGCUGAGGAGAACCGGGAACGAUCAGCCGCCUCAAUUCCACCGCGACGAUGAAGCUGCCAUUUUAGGAUCAAUACCGAGGAUUGUUCACUCUAUUGGAAUUUAAGGAAUUUGUCAAAAUUUUAGAUUAUGGUGUUAUAUUUUGAUGGGAAGCUUAAAUCAUAAACCAUAAGGCUUAAAUCAUUAACCAUCAAGAUUGGUUAUGGGUGAGUGAUGAAAUUCACUUUAUUUUCUCUAGGUUAGCUCAUGAUGUGAUGUUCCAAUGCUAUUCCUAAUGCAAGCUGCUGCCGAGGGGUUAAAAGUUGUUUUGAACCAUGCUUAGUUCGGCAUGUACACGAGAUGGUGGCUGGCUUUAACAUCGAUAAACUCUGCUAACAUAUUCAGGUAGUUUUAUUUUUCUCCAUUUGAGCUUCAAAGGUCUUAUCCCUUUUCAAGUGUACUAUUGAUUUUAGCGGUAGUACAAAUUGAAAGUAGUUGGCACUCCGAUUUCACCUAGGCAAUAGUAAAAUAUGUCUGCACCAAAACUCUUCGCUUUCAUUCAUUGAAAAUGGCUGGAAUUGUAUCAUAAACUUGUGUUAAAUUCUUAGAUUUCAGUACUUAGGAGCUGUGCUCUCUAACUACAUGCAAUCAUCUUCAUUUAUUUAUUAAUCAUCUAACUAUUUUUUAUGUUGUUUUGUAUUCUUCAGAAACUUUUGAUGAUUCAAGUAAGUAGUUGGUUAUUGCUUUCAAGGGUAACCGAAAAGGCGGUUGUUGAAGGGUAUACAAGUGUACCUCUUUUAUUCUAUUAUACAUCACUUCUAUUAUGCAUUUAUUGUCUUGCACUCUUUUUGUAUUUUCAUUUGGAACUGCUUAGUUACAUUUCUUAGUUUCAUUUCGGAGAACCUGAUUGUUAUUUGUAGCAUAUUUGUUCGUUUGAGAGUAGUGAAACUGCUUAGUUACGUUUCAACAUUUAUGUGGAUGGUUGAGUUUGGGUUGAGCUUUAUGUAAUUUGAUGCCCUAUGUUUAUCCUUGAACUGAUCAUGGAUAGAAUGCCAAUGCAAUCCAUUUAGCAAGGAAUGUGAUAAUAUAUAUUACGUUGUUAUAAAUUUUGUGAUUAUUUCUUGAUUCCUAUUCGUAAAUAGGCUACGGGGAAAAGAGAGGUAACCGAACCCUUUCAUUUUACUAUGCUGAUAAAUUAAAACAACUAAAACAGUUUAGGAUCUAAUGUAAUCCUCUGCACCAUUUAUUGUUUCCUAAGAACUCUGCUUGGUUUAAAUAUUACUGCUUAAUCGUUUAUCAUGGUAUAGAUGUGCAGGGUUUGGCAACUUUGAGUUUUAUGCAGGUUAAGAUGCAUUGAAGUUGAUAUUUCAUCACAAGGUUUAUUUUGGUGAUUACAGGUAUUUUGGUACAUACAUAAAUGGUGAAGAUCCUAGUGACCAAGACUUUUGGGUGACAGCACAUCUUGGCUGUUAUUUCUAAGAUAGGCUUUAUUUGGGAUAUUGUAUUAUUAAAAAAAAUAAAAGAAUUCAUGUUGUAGAGAGCGUGAAAUAAUGAUGUUGUUUUGAAAAAAUAUACUCUGAAUGUAAUUUGUUAUCUUGAACUGUUACUGUUAAUGAUAAAUAGGUUUCUUUGCUGUUGA
Molecule: non-coding RNA, 1824 nt
Organism: Erythranthe guttata (spotted monkey flower)
Lineage: Eukaryota; Viridiplantae; Streptophyta; Magnoliopsida; Lamiales; Phrymaceae
Source: RefSeq, a predicted model, not a curated record